This is an RNA transcript of Eptesicus fuscus (big brown bat), 1995 nucleotides long. It is a transcript of the gene named DnaJ heat shock protein family (Hsp40) member C27, with no coding region annotated. The record is from RefSeq and is a predicted model, not a curated record. Lineage: Eukaryota; Metazoa; Chordata; Mammalia; Chiroptera; Vespertilionidae. The transcript has 9 exons.
CCCAACCGCCGGCGCCCGCUGCUGUGCGGCGGCGGGGAUGGCGAGCCCCGGAGCCCGGGCGGUGCCGAUCGCAGCGGGGCCGCCAUUGGAUGGGGAGGCCUGAGGGACGGGCCAGCGUGGUGAGCCAGGAGAGGCCGAGGCUGUGGCCCCGGGAGAGCGGAGGCCAUGGACGCCAACCUGCCGAGGCGGCGGGAGCCCGGCAAGUCCCUGCGCAUCAAAGUCAUCUCCAUGGGCAACGCCGAGGUGGGGAAAAGCUGUAUCAUAAAGAGAUACUGUGAGAAAAGAUUUGUGUCGAAAUACCUUGCAACAAUUGGAAUUGACUAUGGAGUCACAAAGGUACAAGUGAGAGACAGAGAGGUCAAAGUGAACAUCUUUGACAUGGCUGGCCACCCCUUCUUCUAUGAGGUGCGGAACGAGUUUUACAAGGACACCCAGGGCGUGCUGCUGGUCUACGACGUUGGGCAGAAAGACUCCUUUGACGCCCUGGACACGUGGCUGGCAGAAAUGAAGCAAGACCUUGGGCCUCACGGGAACAUGGACAACGUUGUCUUCGUCGUGUGUGCCAACAAGAUUGACUGCCCCAAGCACCGCUGUGUGGAUGAAAGUGAAGGGCGUCUUUGGGCCGAAAGCAAAGGGUUCCUGUACUUUGAAACUUCAGCACAAACCGGAGAAGGAAUUAAUGAGAUGUUCCAGACCUUUUAUACAUCCAUAGUUGACUUAUGUGAAAAUGGCGGGAAGCGUCCUAUCCCAAAUAGCAGUGCUAGUUUCACCAAAGAACAAGCAGACACCAUUCGCAGAAUUCGGAAUAGUAAAGACAGUUGGGACAUGUUGGGCGUCAAACCUGGAGCCUCAAGGGACGAAGUGAACAAAGCGUACCGGAGGCUCGCUGUGCUGCUCCACCCUGACAAGUGUGUGGCGCCGGGGAGUGAAGAUGCCUUCAAGGCAGUGGUGAAUGCCCGGACAGCCGUCCUGAAAAACAUCAAACUCUCCCUGCUCCUUUCCGUGUGUUGUCAGCCCUAAAUCAGUCACCCAGGCGCCUGCUACCAUCUCACAGAGGGAGCGAAGGAACCACACGCCUGCGUGUCGCUCAUCGCAUACUUCCAUGUUGAAAGCAGGUCCUCCCUCAGGCCUCUUGCUCAGGAAGGUCCAAAGGUUUCUGGAGGGAGGACAGGAAGACCCUUUCCCCUGGUCUUUCUUUUUUAUUAAUUCACCAUGAGAAGAAGAAAAACAAGCAGACAGUAUCGAAACCCCUGGAAGUUGGUGUGACCUCACAAGCAAGUUGGUCCUUUUAGGAUGAGUCCUUAGGUGGCCUCGUGACCCUCAGUCCAAAAUUAACGAACUCUAGAGCCCUUUGGAAGUUGGUGGAACAGAGCCAUGCGAUCCUGAAAUAAAACUGUUAUCUCAUUUUAAUCAUGAAGAUCUUAAUAAUUCAGUUAACUGCUCUCUGGACAAGAGCCCUGAAGGAACAGCCUGAUGCAAACCCAGACUCUGACGGUGGGAAGCCGCUCAGGCCGGCCCGCAGGAGGCCGUCUAUCCGGGAGGCUCCCAGCAGGGGCUUUCGUUGUCGUUAGGAAGGGCAUUUGCUCUCCUCUGGACGGUCCGUCGCUCCUUAGGGAACUCUCCACCUUCAUAGCUAGCACGUCCUAAAGGGCGGCUGCCAGGUCCUCUAUGCCCCACCCUCCCCCUGCCCACAGAGAUUGGUCCCUGAGACGGGAAAUGUCACCCAAGCUCAACCAAUUGGCAUCCCUCCCUGGGUCCUUCUAAUUGGAUCUAUGAAAACACACUUCCUCUCAGGAGAGGAGGACAGAAAGAGUCUGCUGAUGUUGGCACCUUGAUUAUAAGCUCAUGGAAAAAACUUGAGAGGAGGAGGCAGACAUUCAGGAAGAGACAGUCCUGAUGGCUAAGACUUUCCUUCCAGCCCACGAGGCCUUCUGAACUGGUGGUUCUUCCAGCCCAUCAGCCACCCCAGAGUCCUUCCAAUAAAGUCCACCCUCC